UCAAGCGACUAAGUGUAUGUGGUGGAUGCCUUGGCGAUUACAGGCGAUGAAGGACGUCGCAGCCUGCGAAAAGCCGUGGGGAGCUGGCAAGCGAGCACUGAUCCACGGAUGUCCGAAUGAGGGAACUCACCCGCAAGGGUAUCUUGAAGUGAAUACAUAGCUUCAAGAGGCGAACGCAGCGAACUGAAACAUCUAAGUAGCUGCAGGAAAAGAAAUCAACCGAGAUUCUGAAAGUAGCGGCGAGCGAAAUUGGAAGAGCCUGCAAGUGAUAUUGAAUUCGAUACUGGAACGGUCUGGAAAGUCCGGCUACAGAGGGUGAUAGCCCCGUACGGGAAAUUGGGUUCAAGGUACUGAGCUUGCGAGAAGUAGAGCGGGACACGUGAAAUCCUGCUCGAAGAUGGGGGGACCAUCCUCCAAGGCUAAAUACUCGUAAUCGACCGAUAGCGAACCAGUACUGUGAAGGAAAGGCGAAAAGAACCCCGGGAGGGGAGUGAAAUAGAUCCUGAAACCGCAUACAUACAAACAGUAGGAGCCCGCAAGGGUGACUGCGUACCUUUUGCAUAAUGGGUCAGCGACUUACGUUCAAUGGCAAGCUUAACCGAGUAGGGGAGGCGCAGCGAAAGCGAGUCCGAACAGGGCGACAUGAGUCGUUGGGCGUAGACCCGAAACCAGAUGAUCUAUCCAUGGCCAGGCUGAAGGUGUGGUAACACACACUGGAGGGCCGAACCGACUAGUGUUGCAAAAUUAGCGGAUGAGCUGUGGAUAGGGGUGAAAGGCUAAACAAAUCUGGAGAUAGCUGGUUCUCCCCGAAAACUAUUGAGGUAGUGCCUCGUGUAUGGCUCCAGGGGGUAGAGCACUGUUAUGGCUAGGGGGACAUGGCGUCUUACCAAACCAUGGCAAACUCCGAAUACUUGGAAGUCUGAGCACGGGAGACAGAGCACCGGGUGCUAACGUCCGGACUCAAAAGGGAAACAACCCAGACCGCCGGCUAAGGUCCCUAAUAUUGACUAAGUGGAAAACGAAGUGGGAAGGCUAAGACAGUCAGGAAGUUGGCUUAGAAGCAGCCAUCCUUCAAAGAAAGCGUAAUAGCUCACUGAUCGAGUCUUCCUGCGCGGAAGAUGUAACGGGGCUAAGUCAAUAACCGAAGCCGCGGAUUCGCAGCAAUGCGAGUGGUAGGGGAGCGUUCUGUAAGCCUGCGAAGGCGGAUCUGCGAGGACCGCUGGAGGUAUCAGAAGUGCGAAUGCUGACAUGAGUAACGUUAAAGCGGGUGAAAAGCCCGCUCGCCGCAAGCCCAAGGUUUCCUGCUCUACGUUCAUCGGAGCAGGGUGAGUCGGCCCCUAAGGUCAGGCUGAGAAGCGUAGCUGAUGGGAAGCUGGUUAAUAUUCCAGCACCGAUUUCAAGUGCGAAGGGGGGACGGAGUCCUGAAGGUCAUCCGGGUGUUGGAUAUCCCGGUUUACGAGCGUAGGAGGUUGACAGGCAAAUCCGUCAACGGAUCUCCAAGGCGAAGGAUCGAGGUUGAGAGAUCAACUGAAGUGACUGAAUGGGCUUCCAGGAAAAGCCUCUAAGCAUCAGCUUGGAAUUGACCGUACCGCAAACCGACACUGGUGGGCGAGCUGAAUAUGCUCAGGCGCUUGAGAGAACUCAGGAGAAGGAACUCGGCAAAUUGACACCGUAACUUCGGGAUAAGGUGUGCCUUUGUAGUGUGAAGAGAGAAACACUCCGAGCAUGAAGAGGCCUCAGAGAAUCGGUGGCUGCAACUGUUUACUAAAAACACAGCACUCUGCAAAGAUGAAAGUCGACGUAUAGGGUGUGAUGCCUGCCCGGUGCUGGAAGAUUAAUUGAUGGGGUGCAAGCUCCUGAUCGAAGUCCCAGUAAACGGCGGCCGUAACUAUAACGGUCCUAAGGUAGCGAAAUUCCUUGUCGGG
RNAcentral lists this ribosomal RNA (1925 nucleotides) under human gut metagenome. Its description in RNAcentral is "bacterial LSU rRNA". It matches the Rfam family "Bacterial large subunit ribosomal RNA", at positions 3 to 1976 of the family's 2925-position model. The record is from RNAcentral.